This 483-nucleotide long non-coding RNA is filed under the name Monodelphis domestica (gray short-tailed opossum). Its description in RNAcentral is "lncRNA (ENSMODG00000038999.1)". The record is from RNAcentral. Lineage: Eukaryota; Metazoa; Chordata; Mammalia; Didelphimorphia; Didelphidae.
CUGGCUCGCCACUCGGAGCCACAAAUGGCCUCCACUAAGAGUUCCUCGUUUUUCUUUUCCUAGAAAACUUUCUCCAAUCUGCCAGAGGCUCUGAGCAAUGAGCUUGACUGGCCCCAGCUCUCGGGGACGACAGGAUUUCUGAAUUCCACCAGCGGGUUUCCGGGGCGCUCCAUUUAUCUCCGCCUGCGGCACAGGAACCGCUGCAAUCACCGGGACUACCAGAACAUCUCCAAAAAUGGGGCGUCUUCCAAAAACCUCCUGAAGUUCAUGGGAAGGUGAGUGCUCGGCGGCCAAGCGCAGCCAAGGUUUCCCAAUUGCUUUUCUGAAUCUGAACACAGAGUGAAACGAUGCCCAACGGCAGGCCAAGCUGAAGCGUCCCACAGUUAAGUGUCAGGGGGCGGGGGGGGGGGGGGCAAAUUAGGGUUAGAGGAAGGCCCGGGCCAGACUGGCCACAGCCACCCGGAGGAAUUGGCACAGAUGCCU